Molecule: long non-coding RNA, 1303 nt
Filed under: Lathyrus oleraceus (garden pea)
Lineage: Eukaryota; Viridiplantae; Streptophyta; Magnoliopsida; Fabales; Fabaceae
Description: Pisum sativum (pea) long non-coding RNA (PSAT_LNC041637)
Source: RNAcentral
UGAAUAUGAAACCACAUACCUGAAACUUCCGUCUCCAUUUAACUAAAAUUAAGUUUAUUGGUGGGAGAUCCCUACUCCUAACCCUUAUUUAUUCCGAUACAUUAUAGAAAAAUAAAAUAAAAUCUAUUUUGGAAUUAAAUAAAGCAUAUAUAUAAGUGUGCGUUCUUAUGUUAUUUUUAUUUUUUUUUAAAGUUUAAAAUAUUAGUAAUAAUUUUAUUGACCAUAAGAUAUUAAAGCUAUAUAGUAUGGAUGCAAGGAUUAGGCGGCUAAAUAUUAUUUAUAAAAAAUUUGCUAUAGAAAAAUGAGUCAUUAAUAAAUUGUUUUAUUUGUUUUGUAUUCACAAAUUGCAAAAUAAAAAAAUUAUUUAAUCGUUGAGGUUUAGGUUAAUCUUUAAUUAAAUUAAUAAAUUAUUAUUGGAUAGCAAUCACGAUAACAUAAAAAAUUUCAAUUGGAUUAAGAGAUUCUUGAUAGUGGAAAUUGAUGUGUUGACAAAUACAACCUCUUUCCUUGAGAUCGAUUAUAUAUUAUCCUGAAAGUUGAUUAAGAAAGUUAUAUGUCAGAAUCAAACAUUGUGUCUGUCACAUUCUUAGUAACAUCAUACUAAGAAAUUUAUAUCUAAAGUUGAUUAAAAGUUGUGCCAAUUUAAUAAUUUUUCUGAAUUAUUAACUAAUAAUUUUUCUGAAUUAUUAAUUAAACUAAUAUAUAAUUUUUCUUAGUAACAUCUUAGGAAGUGACGGUCUAUUCUAAGUGGUAAUAAUCUGUCAAAAUAAACAACGAGAGUGAAAUCAUUUAAAGUUUUGAAUUUGAUAGACAUCAACGCUAUUUUGAAGGUUCUUUAAUUUGGAUAUGACAGUUAAAAUAAUCAACCUUAGUAAAAUGAUUUAUUUAUUUUUUAAUAUAAUUUCUUUUAUUUUACGAAAUUCUCAAUUUUUUAACCUGUAUUUUUCUGGAACAGCAACGCACACUAUUUGUGAACUAUACCUAUAAUUGACAAAUAAAAUGACUCAAGAACUGUAUUACAUCAAAACCAAAAAUUACAUUAAGAAUAAAAAAUUAUAUAUUAUAUCAACACCAAUAUUGUAUAAAAUAACAUACAAUUUACAUAUUAUUACAUCAAAUAAUAUCUACAACGAAGGGAGUGUGUUUUGUCUCUUAGAGUAUUAACUUUAAACACCUAGGGCAUGUUUGAAACACUUUUCAACUUUAGUUUUUAAAAUUUGUUUUUCAAAUCUAUUUUAAAAAACUAUUUUUAAGAAGAAAAUUAACAAAAAAAUUGUUUGAUAAACUAAGUUUUAAAAACUGU